This 72-nucleotide transfer RNA is filed under the name Bos taurus (domestic cattle). It matches the Rfam family "tRNA". Rfam says of the family: Transfer RNA (tRNA) molecules are approximately 80 nucleotides in length. Their secondary structure includes four short double-helical elements and three loops (D, anti-codon, and T loops). RNAcentral also lists the same sequence under 5 other names. The record is from Rfam by way of RNAcentral. Lineage: Eukaryota; Metazoa; Chordata; Mammalia; Artiodactyla; Bovidae.
UCCCUGGUGGCUCAGAUGGUAAAGUGCCUGUCUGCAAUGUGGGAGACCCGGGUUCGAUCCCUGGGUUGGGAA